RNAcentral lists this ribosomal RNA (2772 nucleotides) under Escherichia coli. RNAcentral's name for it is "bacterial LSU rRNA". It matches the Rfam family "Bacterial large subunit ribosomal RNA". The record is from RNAcentral. Lineage: Bacteria; Pseudomonadati; Pseudomonadota; Gammaproteobacteria; Enterobacterales; Enterobacteriaceae.
AGCGUACACGGUGGAUGCCCUGGCAGUCAGAGGCGAUGAAGGACGUGCUAAUCUGCGAUAAGCGUCGGUAAGGUGAUAUGAACCGUUAUAACCGGCGAUUUCCGAAUGGGGAAACCCAGUGUGUUUCGACACACUAUCAUUAACUGAAUCCAUAGGUUAAUGAGGCGAACCGGGGGAACUGAAACAUCUAAGUACCCCGAGGAAAAGAAAUCAACCGAGAUUCCCCCAGUAGCGGCGAGCGAACGGGGAGCAGCCCAGAGCCUGAAUCAGUGUGUGUGUUAGUGGAAGCGUCUGGAAAGGCGCGCGAUACAGGGUGACAGCCCCGUACACAAAAAUGCACAUGCUGUGAGCUCGAUGAGUAGGGCGGGACACGUGGUAUCCUGUCUGAAUAUGGGGGGACCAUCCUCCAAGGCUAAAUACUCCUGACUGACCGAUAGUGAACCAGUACCGUGAGGGAAAGGCGAAAAGAACCCCGGCGAGGGGAGUGAAAAAGAACCUGAAACCGUGUACGUACAAGCAGUGGGAGCCUCUUUUAUGGGGUGACUGCGUACCUUUUGUAUAAUGGGUCAGCGACUUAUAUUCUGUAGCAAGGUUAACCGAAUAGGGGAGCCGAAGGGAAACCGAGUCUUAACUGGGCGUUAAGUUGCAGGGUAUAGACCCGAAACCCGGUGAUCUAGCCAUGGGCAGGUUGAAGGUUGGGUAACACUAACUGGAGGACCGAACCGACUAAUGUUGAAAAAUUAGCGGAUGACUUGUGGCUGGGGGUGAAAGGCCAAUCAAACCGGGAGAUAGCUGGUUCUCCCCGAAAGCUAUUUAGGUAGCGCCUCGUGAAUUCAUCUCCGGGGGUAGAGCACUGUUUCGGCAAGGGGGUCAUCCCGACUUACCAACCCGAUGCAAACUGCGAAUACCGGAGAAUGUUAUCACGGGAGACACACGGCGGGUGCUAACGUCCGUCGUGAAGAGGGAAACAACCCAGACCGCCAGCUAAGGUCCCAAAGUCAUGGUUAAGUGGGAAACGAUGUGGGAAGGCCCAGACAGCCAGGAUGUUGGCUUAGAAGCAGCCAUCAUUUAAAGAAAGCGUAAUAGCUCACUGGUCGAGUCGGCCUGCGCGGAAGAUGUAACGGGGCUAAACCAUGCACCGAAGCUGCGGCAGCGACACUAUGUGUUGUUGGGUAGGGGAGCGUUCUGUAAGCCUGUGAAGGUGUGCUGUGAGGCAUGCUGGAGGUAUCAGAAGUGCGAAUGCUGACAUAAGUAACGAUAAAGCGGGUGAAAAGCCCGCUCGCCGGAAGACCAAGGGUUCCUGUCCAACGUUAAUCGGGGCAGGGUGAGUCGACCCCUAAGGCGAGGCCGAAAGGCGUAGUCGAUGGGAAACAGGUUAAUAUUCCUGUACUUGGUGUUACUGCGAAGGGGGGACGGAGAAGGCUAUGUUGGCCGGGCGACGGUUGUCCCGGUUUAAGCGUGUAGGCUGGUUUUCCAGGCAAAUCCGGAAAAUCAAGGCUGAGGCGUGAUGACGAGGCACUACGGUGCUGAAGCAACAAAUGCCCUGCUUCCAGGAAAAGCCUCUAAGCAUCAGGUAACAUCAAAUCGUACCCCAAACCGACACAGGUGGUCAGGUAGAGAAUACCAAGGCGCUUGAGAGAACUCGGGUGAAGGAACUAGGCAAAAUGGUGCCGUAACUUCGGGAGAAGGCACGCUGAUAUGUAGGUGAAGUCCCUCGCGGAUGGAGCUGAAAUCAGUCGAAGAUACCAGCUGGCUGCAACUGUUUAUUAAAAACACAGCACUGUGCAAACACGAAAGUGGACGUAUACGGUGUGACGCCUGCCCGGUGCCGGAAGGUUAAUUGAUGGGGUCAGCGCAAGCGAAGCUCUUGAUCGAAGCCCCGGUAAACGGCGGCCGUAACUAUAACGGUCCUAAGGUAGCGAAAUUCCUUGUCGGGUAAGUUCCGACCUGCACGAAUGGCGUAAUGAUGGCCAGGCUGUCUCCACCCGAGACUCAGUGAAAUUGAACUCGCUGUGAAGAUGCAGUGUACCCGCGGCAAGACGGAAAGACCCCGUGAACCUUUACUAUAGCUUGACACUGAACAUUGAGCCUUGAUGUGUAGGAUAGGUGGGAGGCUUUGAAGUGUGGACGCCAGUCUGCAUGGAGCCGACCUUGAAAUACCACCCUUUAAUGUUUGAUGUUCUAACGUGGACCCGUGAUCCGGGUUGCGGACAGUGUCUGGUGGGUAGUUUGACUGGGGCGGUCUCCUCCUAAAGAGUAACGGAGGAGCACGAAGGUUGGCUAAUCCUGGUCGGACAUCAGGAGGUUAGUGCAAUGGCAUAAGCCAGCUUGACUGCGAGCGUGACGGCGCGAGCAGGUGCGAAAGCAGGUCAUAGUGAUCCGGUGGUUCUGAAUGGAAGGGCCAUCGCUCAACGGAUAAAAGGUACUCCGGGGAUAACAGGCUGAUACCGCCCAAGAGUUCAUAUCGACGGCGGUGUUUGGCACCUCGAUGUCGGCUCAUCACAUCCUGGGGCUGAAGUAGGUCCCAAGGGUAUGGCUGUUCGCCAUUUAAAGUGGUACGCGAGCUGGGUUUAGAACGUCGUGAGACAGUUCGGUCCCUAUCUGCCGUGGGCGCUGGAGAACUGAGGGGGGCUGCUCCUAGUACGAGAGGACCGGAGUGGACGCAUCACUGGUGUUCGGGUUGUCAUGCCAAUGGCACUGCCCGGUAGCUAAAUGCGGAAGAGAUAAGUGCUGAAAGCAUCUAAGCACGAAACUUGCCCCGAGAUGAGUUCU